CCUACGGGAGGCAGCAGUGGGGAAUUUUGGACAAUGGGCGCAAGCCUGAUCCAGCAAUGCCGCGUGAGUGAAGAAGGCCUUCGGGUUGUAAAGCUCUUUUGUCAGGGAAGAAAAGGGUGCGGCUAAUAUCUGCGCCUCAUGACGGUACCUGAAGAAUAAGCACCGGCUAACUACGUGCCAGCAGCCGCGGUAAUACGUAGGGUGCAAGCGUUAAUCGGAAUUACUGGGCGUAAAGCGUGCGCAGGCGGUUUUGUAAGACUGUCGUGAAAUCCCCGGGCUCAACCUGGGAAUGGCGAUGGUGACUGCAAGGCUAGAGUUUGGCAGAGGGGGGUAGAAUUCCACGUGUAGCAGUGAAAUGCGUAGAUAUGUGGAGGAACACCGAUGGCGAAGGCAGCCCCCUGGGUCAAAACUGACGCUCAUGCACGAAAGCGUGGGGAGCAAACAGGGUUAGAUACCCUGGUAGUCCACGCCCUAAACGAUGUCUACUAGUUGUCGGGUCUUAAUUGACUUGGUAACGCAGCUAACGCGUGAAGUAGACCGCCUGGGGAGUACGGUCGCAAGAUUAAAACUUAAAUGAAUUGA
Molecule: ribosomal RNA, 582 nt
Filed under: uncultured bacterium
Lineage: Bacteria
Description: bacterial SSU rRNA
Rfam family: Bacterial small subunit ribosomal RNA
Source: RNAcentral